GGACAAUAUGCCUUGGUCCAGGGACCAACUGGUCAUCUUGGAGGCUGGCUAUCAUAUCAUGAAGCUUUGGGGCCGUUAGGAUAAAACACUGAAAAGACACCACAUAUAAAGUACCAAGCAGGAAGUAGUCAUGAAGUGCUAGUUUCUUCUAAUAAGGGUUCCAGACAUUCCUUUGGCCGAAGAGGAGCCUGAGCCAGCACCUCCCCCACAUCCAACCAAGGAAAGACCCGAUCCAUACUCCAAUACUUACAGACGUUUAAUAAAGAUAUCUUACUGAUGGGAGGGAGGUGGCAACAAGUAUUUUCCUGGAUCCAAAGAACACAUCAUAGUUCAAGACUACAAAGAACUCUCCGUGGGAUUUUCUGGAGUCAGUGUGACUUCUCCCAGAAAGUAAAUUACCAAACUGGACUGGAUCUCGGCUUUGUUGAGCUGCAAGUUUGGUUUGAAGUUGAGUUAAAUCAAAAAGAGUGCUUACCAAAAGAAACCACUGCUUCUGGCAGUGAAGCAGCUCAGUCAUGUCCAACUCUUUGCGACCCCAUGGACUGUAGCCUACCAGGCUCCUCCCUCCAUGGGAUUCUCCAGGUAAGAAUACUGGAGUGGGUUGCCACUUCCUUCUCCAGGGGAUCUUCCAGACCCAGGUAUCGAACCCAGGUCUCCCGCAUUGGAGGCAGACGCUUUAACCUCUGAGCCUAACAAAUAUCCCAGAUACCUUUGGGAGGGUUAGCAAAUCAUAAGAUCACAUGCUUGCCAUAUGAAUUAAUAUAGGUUAUCCUUUCUUUAUAGCGGGUUUGUGUAGAGAGAGAGAGGACAGGGAUGCAUAAAGGACUAAGGGGCUUUCAGUCUGAUGUCUGCCUUCGUGAUGGUGUCUUCACAGGUGAUCAAGAUAUCUUUAAUCUACAAUC
Molecule: long non-coding RNA, 902 nt
Organism: Bos indicus x Bos taurus (hybrid cattle)
Lineage: Eukaryota; Metazoa; Chordata; Mammalia; Artiodactyla; Bovidae
Source: Ensembl